GAUAAUGGGGCUGCUGCAGCUACAACACCAUAUCGUUCAGGUUUUGAGACGCCAAUGCCUUACAUGCAGACUCCCAUGAGAGAUACUGGAGCAAUGUCAAUGCCUUACCUGAUGACUCCCCUUAGAGAUCCUGCAGCAAGCCCAACGCCUUACAUGAUGACUCCCAUGAGAGAUCCAGGAGCAACACCUUACAUGAUGACUCCCAUGAGAGAUCCAGGAGCAACACCUUACAUGAUGACUCCCAUGAGAGAUCCAGGAGCAACACCUUACAUGAUGACUCCCAGAAGAGAUCCCCGAGCAACACCAGUACAUAGUGGUAUGAGGACUCCUCCUAUGACUCCCAUGAGAGAUCCCCGAGCAACACCAAUACAUGGUCACGUGGGAACUCCUCCUAUAUAUUAGGGCUUU
RNAcentral lists this long non-coding RNA (408 nucleotides) under Fragaria vesca (wild strawberry). Its description in RNAcentral is "long non-coding RNA (FVES_LNC003551)". Lineage: Eukaryota; Viridiplantae; Streptophyta; Magnoliopsida; Rosales; Rosaceae. The record is from RNAcentral.